AUGCCCGUGCUCCUCGCCAUCGUGGUCGCCCAUGUACGACCCGUAGUGGGAUUUCUGCUGCUGGUCGUGCUGGCGUUGGUGGUUCUCAUGGCUCUGUACGUUCUUCUUCUGCUGGACGUGUCCGCUUGGGGCGAGGUCACCGGGCAGUUCGCCCUUCAUUGGAUUUCCCUUCUAUUGCUUCUUCUCACAGUGAAGAUGGAUAUGCAUCGUAUGCUCGGGAGGCACGUCGCCGUCGACAAGAAAUCCGUAUGGGAAAGCGACCCGUUGACUGUACUCAGGGUUGGUUUACACUUAGGUGCAUAUUCGUUUACUUCCUUCAAUGAUGUACCAUCACUUCCAAUUUCUGAUUCUCAUUUUGGCCAAUUGAACGACAGUGAUGGUGUUGAGACUGGUGUCCAGGUGGUUGAGACAGUUGGUUGUGAGCCUGUUGACACUUCUGUUGAUGUGCCAUCUAAAAAUUCAACUCUUCAUGACCAUCAGUUUGGCGAUGAGUUGAUAGUUGUUCCUCCACAUGUUGUCCCUUUGUUGAGCAUGGGUCCUCAUGACAGGCCAACCCCUUUAGCUGAUGAAGUCAAAAGUAGAAUUAAUGUGUUUGAUUGUGAAGGCUAUAGUUCUCUUGAGCCUGAUCCAGAAACAGUAGCCAGCCUCAUUGAUAUGUUGAAUAGGCAUCAUCGUUUGGUACACAAAUAUAGAAUUGCUCGCCAAAAUUUGUCUUCUCCUGAUGGGCCAAAGGUUUCUAUCCGCUUCUUAGGAAAUAAUGGCGGGCCUCAUAGCACGCGUUUUUCUGGUCCAACGGCCUCUGAGGUGGCUGUUGUGAUUGUCGGUGAUCUUACUCCUGACCGCAAGAAAUUUGAUGUGGUUGUAGAGACACAUGUUGGUAUGUUGGAGCACGUAUCUUCUCUCAAUUCUAACCUUACGGCUCUACAAUACCCCUUGCUUUUUCCAUAUGAGGAUAAAAGUUAUCAUUUGGGUAUUAAAUAUGUCAACAAUGAUGAUGAUUCGUCCAGUCUGAAUGCACGUGGUGUUCUGUUUGAGGAGACACCUGAUACUGGUGCAAUUGUUCCUCGGCGUUCUAAAGUGCCACGGAGCCAUGUUUCUAUGUUGGAGUAUUAUGGUUACUAUCUUCAUUACCGUGAGGGGGAACCAAAUCCUUAUACCAGUUGUGGGCGACUCAGUCAACAGCUGGAUAAUUUACGAUCCGAGGCUUACCAGGGAAUAUCUGAUGCAAUUGGAGAAGGUAGUUCUACUGGAAAGAAUGUUGGUGUGCAAUUUAUACUUCAUGGAAGUUUCACUGGUGGGCGUCGUUAUAUGGUUUUGAAUUAUCAUGAUGGAAUGGCUAUUUGUCGUGAAUAUGGUGCUCCAGAUUUACUCAUCACUUUCACAUGUAAUCCAAAGUGGCAAGAAAUUAUUGAUGCUCUUGCUUCCGAGCCUGGACAGGUUCCUGCUGAUCGACAUGAUAUAUUUACACGAGUUUUCAACAUGAAGUUUGCUGAAUUUCUAACUGAUGUGAAAAAUGGUUCGCUUUCAGGCCUAUUCAAGCAUAAUUUCAGAAGAGAGGUCUUCCUCAUACUCAUCCGUUAG
Molecule: ribosomal RNA, 1581 nt
Filed under: Triticum aestivum (bread wheat)
Lineage: Eukaryota; Viridiplantae; Streptophyta; Magnoliopsida; Poales; Poaceae
Description: partial small subunit ribosomal RNA
Source: RNAcentral